RNAcentral lists this RNase P RNA (377 nucleotides) under Candidatus Omnitrophota bacterium. RNAcentral's name for it is "Candidatus Omnitrophica bacterium (sediment metagenome) RNase P RNA component class A". It matches the Rfam family "Bacterial RNase P class A". Rfam says of the family: Ribonuclease P (RNase P) is a ubiquitous endoribonuclease, found in archaea, bacteria and eukarya as well as chloroplasts and mitochondria. Its best characterised activity is the generation of mature 5'-ends of tRNAs by cleaving the 5'-leader elements of precursor-tRNAs. Cellular RNase Ps are ribonucleoproteins. The record is from RNAcentral. Lineage: Bacteria; Pseudomonadati; Candidatus Omnitrophota.
AAAGCAGGUCAGGAUGGCCGCUCUGAUGCUUAUGGCGUCGGAGAGGAAAGUCCGAGCUCCAAAGGAUGAUGCAUCCCGAUAACGCGGGACAGUCUUGCGAAGCCAAACGCGAAAGCAUUUUGGCCCGGCAGACGAGGAUCAGAGCUACAGUGACGAUGCUCCCUCACGGGAGAGUGAAACGAGCAAUCUCUGCAUGGAGCAAUGCCAAAUAGGAGGGGAGUCGCAAGUUCCAUCGAAAGGUGGGACCCAUGACACGGGGUGAUCCGCUCCGUCAUACUCUCGGGUAGGCUGCAAGAUAUCCGCCAAAGGCGGAUGUUAGUCGAAUGGCCAUCGCCCUGCCAAGGGUCACAGAACUCGGCUUAUUGACUGCUUUUUUA